UUUUAAUUGGAUUUUUGAUUGUGGUAAAAUAUACAUAACAGCCUUGGUAGUGUAUGCAACUUGUUGCCUGUAUAGGUUGCCCUAAGGGACAUUGGAGACGGCC
Molecule: small nucleolar RNA, 103 nt
Filed under: Catagonus wagneri (Chacoan peccary)
Lineage: Eukaryota; Metazoa; Chordata; Mammalia; Artiodactyla; Tayassuidae
Description: Small nucleolar RNA SNORA70 (ENSCWAG00000013032.1)
Rfam family: Small nucleolar RNA SNORA70 (bases 19-103)
About the family: snoRNA U70 seems to be exclusive to mammals and is a member of the H/ACA class of snoRNA which contain H (ANANNA) and ACA box motifs. H/ACA box snoRNAs are involved in the conversion of uridines to pseudouridines (5-ribosyluracil) a constituent of structural RNAs (transfer, ribosomal, small nuclear, and small nucleolar).
Source: RNAcentral